Molecule: ribosomal RNA, 497 nt
Filed under: uncultured bacterium
Lineage: Bacteria
Description: partial 16S ribosomal RNA
Rfam family: Bacterial small subunit ribosomal RNA
Source: RNAcentral
GAUGAACGCUGGCGGCGUGCCUAAUACAUGCAAGUCGAGCGAACGGACGAGAAGCUUGCUUCUCUGAUGUUAGCGGCGGACGGGUGAGUAACACGUGGAUAACCUACCUAUAAGACUGGGAUAACUUCGGGAAACCGGAGCUAAUAUCGGAUGAUAUUUUGAACCGCAUGGUUCAAAAGUGAAAGACGGUCUUGCUGUCACUUAUAGAUGGAUCCGCGCUGCAUUAGCUAGUUGGUAAGGUAACGGCUUACCAAGGCAACGAUGCAUAGCCGACCUGAGAGGGUGAUCGGCCACACUGGAACUGAGACACGGUCCAGACUCCUACGGGAGGCAGCAGUAGGGAAUCUUCCGCAAUGGGCGAAAGCCUGACGGAGCGACGCCGCGUGAGUGAUGAAGGUCCUCGGAUCGUAAAACUCUGUUAUUAGGGAAGAACAUAUGUGUAAGUAACUGUGCACAUCUUGACGGUACCUAAUCAGAAAGCCACGGCUAACUACGUG